Molecule: long non-coding RNA, 834 nt
Filed under: Marmota monax (woodchuck)
Lineage: Eukaryota; Metazoa; Chordata; Mammalia; Rodentia; Sciuridae
Source: RNAcentral
UCAGCCGGCUAAGACGGGGGCUGAGUUUGGCAUAGAAAGAUUUGAACUUUGAUCCCAAUCCUGUUACAGCUGCGUGUUCCUGGCAGAUCAACUUCCGCUGAGCCCCAGUGAAAUCCCAUAAUAUAAUGACAGCAGGGGCCAGCGCUUAGUAGGGCUGACCUUUUUUUUUUCUUUCUUUCUUUCCAUGUCCCACCUCUAGCAGGAUCCCUGCUUGACUCCUUGGAGGGAGGCCAUCAUGAAGAGAUUUAUACAUUAAACUUGAAAUGGGCACUGUCAGGUACCAGCCUCCAGAGCCUUGUAAAGACCUCAACCUAGAGACAUGGCCCAGAAAUAUUUGGGGUCUGCCUGGGCCUUACCGUCUGCCCUGCACUGUUCCCCGCAACUGAAGGUGUAUACUCCUUCACUUCUUGGCAAGUGAACGGCUUGAGCCUCCCCAGGUAUGUCCCAGUGUUCUAUGCUGCAGAGCCCCUCUGUACUGGCUGUAGAUACCCUUAGUCUGGAAUCACCUCCCCUCCCCCUUCCAAAUGUACUCAGACCCAAACUUUGGGGAAGGCUUCCUUCUCAGACUGCCCAUUGGCCUCUUGAACCAUUAUGAAGGUCUCCCAGCAGCAGUGGUGUACACCUGUUCCCAUGGAGUACACCUGGGUUGUGGCUUCCAUCUUCACUUUCCAGGAGCAGACACAAGGCAGGACUGAAGGGACCUGAACACCCUUCCUGUGAUAAGAAAUGAAGGGCCAGGUGCAGUAACAGACCCCUAUAAUUCUAGCAGCUUUGGAGGCUGAGGCAGGAGGAUCUUUAGUUCAAAGCCAGCCUCAGAAACUGCUAAGUGCUAAG